CCACAUCGAGCAUCAAAACACUUGCACUUCCAUAUAUGAAGGAACCUGAAUGAGUUUCGGGCUUGGGAAGUUAUUGGAUCAUGUUAGGACCCGGGAAAAUAUUUAGCGGUUUCAAAAUGCAACGUCAGCUGCUGCUGACGUGGCAUAUAUUUUUCACUAGCAGCCCAUUGUAAUUUGACAUCUAUCUGAUGACAUGGAAUUGAAUAAAAAAAUAGAAAUUUGUCCAAGGUCUGUUCUGCCAUGAAAGUUCUUGCUUCAUUGAAGUUUGCAGCACCUCCGUCGAGGCGGUCACCAGCGGAGCCACCAGCGCCGCGUCCUGCGCUAAAUCGAGCCGCCCCGUCCGGCGUUGCUCGACGCCGACGACGGCCAUGGAUGGCCAGAUCUAUAGAUUUGAAGAGUGACGCCGGAGAAGGUGACGAAGGCCAUGGAUGAGGGACGCGCUGCCAGAUCUGGAGGUUGGAGAUAAACAGAAAAAGACGGGAGCCGGAGGGGUGGCUCGGCCCGAUCGCGAGUGACGCCGGAAGGGGUCUUCCAUCAUUAAUGGCCGCAAUUUUUUCUUGUUCAUGGCUCACGUGGCGCCUCAUCCACAGAUCUGGCGAUGGCGGAUCGGCCAUGGCCGCGAGCCUUGACAGCGAGCUCCAAAUCUCGUCCUUGGACGAAGAUUCGACAACGGAAGCUUCUCUCAUUCGUCGGAGUUGCAGACCUCCUCGAUGUCGCCACAAGCGGAGUCGCCGGCGCUUUAUCCUGAGAGUCCACACCGACCCACGUCGCGAGCCAUGGACAGUUGCAGCCAUGGACGAUGGAGGAGAAGGAUAAGAGAAAACGCAGGCCGGAUGAAGGAGAACGAAAGAGAGAGAGAGAAAAAUAAAAGUCAGAUUUUUAUUUGAUUCCGAGUCAGUUGCUGAAUGGCAAUCUGGACACAUGUCAAUCCGCGAGUGGGUGUCCGUAAAAUAAAUUUAUGUCACAUCAGCCGUUAACGUGCUGAUUUGAAACACCGAAUAUUUUCUCCUACUCAUUUUUGGUCGUAGUAGGUCUAAUCCGAAGGCCUUUACCUUUCCCAAGGAAAAUCUGAACGGGUUCAUUCGUCGCAAUUACCGCAACCAUAGAAAUCAAAUGGCCCACAUUUCUUUCCAUUUUCUUUUUUUUUUAUUUUUAAUAGUUAUUUACUAAAAACUGGUUCAGGGAUGAUUCAAAAUCUGUAAUCAAUCUUUCAAGUGUCCAUCAUGUGUUGCCACAAAAUUUUCUUAAGCUUUAGUUUGAUUCCAUCCUCAUACAUGAAUAUACUGAAGUUCCAUAAUUAUUUAUAUAAAUUAUGAGGAUCGACCUCACAUAACAUACAACAAAAGAUGCCUCAAAUAUAGUAUGAUUGGAGAAGCUUCAGAAAUCUGACUGAACUUCAGGAAGAGGCACAUCGUCAAUUAGCUGAACAAUCUCUUGGAAACGACCCGAAUCUCAUGCUAGCAGACACGUCAAAGCAAACACUAGAAAAGACAUAUUGAUGACCAGCCACAUGAAUAGAGAUAAACUCAUCCAGAGAAGUAACUCGGAACCGAAAGUUCCAAAAAUAAUAUACAAGCAUCGGUAUACCAAUUUCGGGCUUGCAGGUCCGGUCACUUUGAUUAAUGCUAUGAAAUAGAUAACUUCACAAAUGACAUAAAGCUGCAAAACCAUGUGACUCGACACUUCAAUAUGCUGCGAAUUGAAAUGCGCGAUGACGAGCAAUUUGAAGAAGGUAAAUACUAUGUGAAAUCUCUUGGUUGAGUCGAAACUUUCUUCUUGUUGUUGUUGUCGCUGUGGUUGUUCGUUGUUCCUAUACCAAAUCAGGAAGAAAUCAAUUGGCAAAAAAUAAAUUCAGAAGAAAAAUAAAAAUUGGCUAUUGAUCUACGCCCUAAGCGAGAACUUAAAAGCAUAUUCACAUGGAUGAGUUAAGUACCUUUCGAGUGCAAUCACAUGAUCCGCCAUGUUCUGGAGAUGGAGGAGCCUGGUGAACUCUGCGACUGUUUAUGAGAUCUGUGAAUUAGUGGAAGAGGCACUUUGGCUACAAGGUGGGGCGGGAUUAUUUAUAGGUCAUUUUUUUAACCUUUUUUUCUUUAAAAAAUAUUAUGUUCUGCAUUUGUUUAUGGGUUAAUACAUUGAAAAACCUCAAACUGGUACACCUGUGACAAAUUUACCCCAAACUAUUUUUUUGACCACCAAAAACCCCAAACUGGUAUACUUUUGACAAAUUUACCCUAAACUGGUACACUUGUGACAAAUUUACCCUCUGUUAGUUUUAGUUAAAUUUUCUUGUUAAAUUAUAAAGUUAAAUAACACGUGACAAUUGACCGGUAUAUCAAUUUGAGAUUUUACACUCUAUUUGUCAUAGUUUAUAAUUUUUGUGAUUUUUUUUGUGGUAUUAAUCUAAUUUUUCGGAGGAUAUAUUAGUCACAAAUUUACCAAUUUUGGGGUUUUUUAUGAUCGAAUAAAUUAAUUUUGGGUAAAUUUGUCAUAAAUGUACCAGUUUAUGGUUUUUUAUAGUUAGUCGGGGUAAAUUUAUCACAAAUGUACCAGUUUGGGGUUUUUCAUGGUCAAAAAAUAGUUUGGGGUAAAUUUGUCACAAGUGUACCGGUUUGGGGUUUUUUAAGGUAUUAACCCUUUGUUUAUUGACGUGGGCUUGACUUCUGGAAAAGCUCAUCGCAGGGAGCCCGUGAAAUUCCUCCUUUGCCCAGUGUAUUAAGCACACAUGUCGGGGGCAACAAAGGAAUUUUGAAGUUCCGUAGCCCCACAGAUCAACAGGUCAAGUCGACAACUUUUUUGACAAACACUAUUUGUUGACUUUUUUGACAAACACUAACAAAGGAAUUUUGAAGUUCCGUAGCCCCACAGAUCGACAGGUCAAGUCGACAACUUUUUUGACAAACACUAUUUAUUGACUUUUUUUUACAACUUCAAAAUUCCUUCGUUGCCCCCGCAAAGAAGGGAUUUCUAAUGCACAUUUAAUUUCUUAGGAUGUAAAAAGAUGUACUAUGAAAGCGUGUGAAACUCGAGCUGCAUUCUCUAGCAACUGUUCGGGGCGGAAGCAACGGCACAUCGGCAGCGAAAGCCCCGACAGUGCCUACUGCGGAAGCUCUCCGUCUAGCAAACGGUGGCGCAGUUGUUCUGCCCUGCAGUGAUCCCCUCGAACAGGUGGUGUUGGGACUCGCGAGUUCACGCCCCCAACUCCCAUUGGUUCCAUCUCUUUGCAUACGGAAGCAGAGGUGAAAAAAAUAGUUGGUUUACAAUCGGUUCGAUUAAUCAAGGUUCUCUCCUAGAAAAUGACUUGAGAAAUCAUGCUCAAAAUCAUCUAUCGACAAUUUUGAUUCAUUUCGUUGAGCCCUUCUUCAUAUUAUGAUUCACUACCAUUUGAUUUUUUAGAGAUCUAUUGGCUCCGAAAAUAGGCAGAGGCUCAUUGAUAUUUAGUGAAGUUUACAUAUUUUAUGAGCUCAUCAUAAGACAAUGUAUUAAAAUGGAAUAAGUUUAUUGAAAAUCCUAAAACUUAUCACGUGAGUGUAAUUAAGUCUUAAAAAUUUUAAUAUAUGCAAUUAAGUUCUAAAAUUUUCAAAAAGUGUAAUAAAAUCCUAAAAUUUAUCGAGUUUGUAUAAUCAAGUUCUUUUAAACUCCAUUCAACUUAACAAAUGGAAAAUGCUAAUAAGUUUUAGGAUUUGAUUAUGCCGAUUUGACAAAAUUUAGGAUUUUAUUGCAAUUUUCAAAAGUUUUAUCACUCGAUUACACUUUUGUGAUAAAGUUUAACACUUGAUUGCACUUGUUCAAUGUUUUUUUUUUUAAUCUAUUUUCAUGAUAAAUUUUGGAGCUUUUAGUGCCCUAAAAAUACUUAAUCAAAUAUGAUAUGUGUUGUCGUCCAUCCAAUGGACUUUUGCUGUAAUUAAUCUUUGUUGGUCACAUUCAUGCUAGAUGAUCACGUGUGGCCAGAAAUUUUUUAUGUGAUAUUAAUUCACGAUUUAUCAAACUUAAGUUGUAUUCCACCUUAAUGUACGUGAAAAUGUUAUUAAUUUUUUCGUUGUCUAUAUAAUCUGUGGUGAUUGACCCAAAAAUAAUCAUGGAUCUAAAUAAAUGCAUCAUUAAGACCACUCCGUAGACGUUCGUCAAAAGGGCAAAAAGGAUAAAGAAAAGCCUGAGAAAUAGAAUCGUAACAUAUAUAGACCUUAGCUGAAAAGAUGCGUCUUGACUUUAUCCAUUUAGACCCUUUUUAAAUUGUGUUAAGUGAUCCCUAUAUGGCCACCUCUAGAAAAAACCAAUUUGGCCAGAAAAAAAAAAAAAAAGAAUUUGUCCUCCAGUGGAGGCUUUCUUCGCGCACGGGCGUCAAAAUCCACCAAAUACAAAAUAUGUAUGCGAUAAUAUUCUCUUUGCUAUAAAUAUAAGUACUUAUUACAAAUAACAUCCAAUGGAUGCACAAAUAAAGUCAGGAGCUUCAAUGUACAAAUAAAGUUAGGAGCUUCAGAAAUCAAACUGAAUUUCAGAAAAGGGCAAAUCAUCAAGUGGCUAAAUAAUCUCUUGAAACCGGUUGAAAACUUGCGAAAGUAGACCAAAUGAUGCUAUAACAAACAUGAGUAAGCAUUAAUUGACAAUUAGCCACGUAGCAAGAGACAGGCUCUUCCAAAGAAGCAAUUCAAAAUCAAAAGUCCCAAAAAUGACAUACAAGGACUGGUAUAUCGGGUUAAUGAGCGCUAUUAGAUUGAUGGCUUCACAAAUAAUGUAAAGCUGUAGAAACGUGUCGCUUAGCACUUUAGUAUGCUUGAAUUAAAAUGGCCAAUUACGAUCAGCUUAAAUGAGGUGAAUGCAAUAUGAAAUGUCUUGGUUAAAUCAAAAUGUUAUUAUCGUUGUUGCUGGCAUGGCUACUCGUCAUCCCUAUGUUAAAUCAGGAAGAAAUUAAUUGGAAUAAAAGAUUGAUUCUAAAGAGAGAAGAAACCGGAUGCUUUAUCGCGCUUUGAGCACAAAGAUUUGAAGAUCGGUGAAUGAAUUAUGUACCUUCCCAAGGUCUCUGUUUGAUUCGGCAUGUUGAUGAGGAGUUGAGCGUGUUCAGAGAACAAGGAGGAUUCGAAGAGCCGGAAGAGAAUUUGCAGGUACUCAGGAGACCUUCCGCUCGCUUGAACGAUGUUUGAUCUAGAGCUUUUCUUCUGUUUAUGGAAGUGAAGUAGCGAAGGACUUGCUUCGAGCAUUGAUUUAUAAAGAGUCCCACGCACGAGCUAGAAGAGAGAGAGAGAGAGAGAGAGAGAGAGAGAGAGAGAGAGAGAGAGAUCAGCCUCUCCAAAUCAACGGUUGGGAGGACGUGAAUAGUUUCAGAGAUUUAGAGACCACCAAAUCUCAACCGUAGAUUCGACCACCCACCUCAAACGGUUGAGAUUUGGUGGUCUCUUAAACCCUUCAUGUGCUCGCAAAUCAACGGCUGAGGACAUGCUUGGCUACAUGGGAACGCAUAUCAUCAACCGUUUGACUUUUUCUGAUAUGUGCAGUGGGCCAGGUGCUUCCCAAUUUUUUAACUCGACUAAUUUCUGCUCCCUUUUGUGUUUGGUCAUGCGAGUACUUACUUAUAAGCCGUUUUAGAGCUCGAUUAAGGUUAUUUUCAAAGCCAAUUUUUUUCAUCAUUUGUACAACUUACGUACAACGAGUAUUUGGAAAAAUCUAAGGGUGCUCUAAUGAAAAAAAUCAGUUGACGAAGACUUGUCUAACCUUUUAUAAUACCUUUUAAAUAUUUAUGGAAUUUUAUGAGAUUAUUGUCUAUUAUUUUAAAAACUUAAGCUGUUAAAUAAAUGUAUAAUUUAAUAUUUAAUUAUUAUAUUAUUUUUCCUCGUGCUUAAUCUAGUCAUAUUUAAUUUUUUAAUAGUCUCAUGAAAAUAUUUCAAAGCAAAAAGAAGUAUGAUUAAAGCCCGAAGGGCAUAUAUUGCAUAAUAUAUGAUUUUAUUUUCAAAUUAUUUUAAUUUACACCAUCCCCCCUAUAUUUUUAAACAAAGGGGGGGGGGGGGGGAGAGAGAGAGAGAGAGAGAGAGAGAGAGAGAGGCACGUUACAGUAAUUAAGGUUGAAAUUCAUUUGUAAGUUCGACGAAGGGCCGAAGAAAGUGGCGUAUUUGCUUAAGGACUAAGGGAAGGUUUUGGAAGGGGAAAAAAACGAUAGUUUACUAAAAGAACCGCUUUAAAAUCGGCUCUUCCUUUUCUGGGAUCGAGGAAUGAAAUUGAACACGCUCUGUCCGGUCGACGAUGGUCUCCUCCUCAUUUUCAGUUCAUCCAGCCGACAGGCGGUGGCCGCUCUUCUUCAUUUACCCAACUCCGCUUGUCAGUUCGCUCAGCUACCGAAGCUCCGUCGUGCUCUGCCGCUUCCGUUGAGCUGGUUGCUUCCCCAGCAAAAGCUCUGUCUCUCGAGUCCGCUGCCAUUGAUCAUACCCCUUCCGCGUCCCUAUUCAGGUAGAGAUCUCUUUGCAUUCACAUCGUAACCAGCCUCACAAGUAUUUUUCUUUUUUGGAACUUGCUUGAUGUUUGGCCGUAAUAGAACAGGAGUCCAUGCAGGAGGAAGGGUUAGUGGAAGUAGGAUUAGAAACAAUGGAUGAAGGAAUCAAAGAAGGGGAAGAAGGAAGAGCAUUGGAAGUAGGAGAAGAAGAAGAAGAUGUGGAGGAGGCGAAGAAGCAGUCCCAAUUCACGACGUCCGAAUGCUCAUGGAGGGCUUCACACGCGUGCCUAUCGGAGCCAGAAACUCUCCACUCAUAUCUGCGCUUCCCCUUUGGAGGUCCUAAAGUUCUUCUCUCUUGUUGCUUGACUAUCAUUCUUUAAUGUAUUUCAUUUAACUAUCGGCAACGCCUGUUGCUAAGUCCAGUGGUUGCUUGAUUCUUAUAUGUUGCGAAGUCCCUUGGACCAACAAGUUUGGCUUGCCUGAAAAGCGUAAGUCAUUCAAUGCCUCGAGAAGUACUUCAUAGUGAUUUGACCCUCGCAAGCCUGUAGGCUCUCGCUUCUCUUACUAUUCGAGUAUGUCAUAAGCAUCUCUUUUAUUGAGCUGAACGGCGUUAAAAGUAUUAAUCUCUCCUUGCAUGUCGAGUUUGACUCCACCUAAUGUCCCAAUAGUAGUCACCAGACAUUGCUGAUAAAACUGGUAAAUAGAAUUCGUGAUUGGCAACAUCGACAGUAUGGUAUAAUGCACGCCUUUCCUUUCCUUGAAAUAUGACUCUCCUCAUUGCAUUGCAAGUAUAACAAUGGCAUAAAAGCAUUACCUUUUUUUUUCUGUCCUGCGAUGCAAUUGUCCAUUUAGAGUACAUUCUUCGCUUGAAAGAAGCUUGGACGCUCCUUGUUUGCAGCUUCAGCAUCAUCAUCAGGAGAUGACGCCACAGCUCCCUUGUCUUCGACUGAUUCAAUUGUAUCGGCAAAAUCUCUGAAAUCCUUCAAGCUGUGAAAAAAAGGGAAGGUUAGAAAGAAAAUAUCGGAAGAAAGGUGAGAAUUUCCUUGUGCCGAGUGUUGGAUGAUAGCAAGAAAAUUAGCAGAGUUUGGCCUGCUAUAUUAAUUUAACAAGUAUAAAAGUGAAUCUCAACUCUUGCUUUGCUCUGGGACACAAACUGCUUAAACCUCUGCUGAUCCAUAAACUGAACUUCUUCAAAAAUGCUAUUAACCUUAAAGGCAUAUAGAAAUAUAAGCUAUUUAUCAAGAUUGCAUAUUAAACUGAAAUGAUAAAAAAGGUUUUACCAAAAGUCAAAGCCCAAGGAGAAAUGAGCAUUACAAAUUUAGAAUAAUAAAGUAAACAUAUAAACUAAAUCCAUUCUUAUAACAUAAACAUGCAAAUAUUGAGAUUUCUUACAUAUGUUUUAAGAUAACAAGGCUACCUUGGCGUAAGUAUAAUCAAGUUUGGACGUAUUCCAGUCAACUGUAAAUGUUAGAAUUAAAUGUCAAAUGAAACAGGCAACUUAUCGGAUCUCCAGAUUCAGUUAAGAGCAAUAAAUGGACGGUUAUACUUCUCUGUUCAUACAUAACAAAAGGGAUUUCCCUUGCAUUCUUGCAUAGCCAGAAGCCUCUUCAAGAUACCUACUAAACUAAAGACUCUCUCAAUCCCCUUAGGCGAUCUGGCCCCCUCGGCAUUACUUCCAUGAUCUGAAGAGCAAUCCCAAAACCCAACUCUGAUAGCUUUACCCCGUGAUAUCCUCUUGAGGAUGAGAACCAAGUUUAGACAAUCUGCAUCCAGCAUUAAGUGUUUAAUGACAUUAUUUUGGUCCUUUCGUAGAAACUAUCCUCUCUUUUCAGGCACUAUCUCAAAACUUCACUCAUACAACUGAGAGUAAGAGAAAGGAGGAGUCGCACCACAAAUUCACGAUUGACUGCUUUUGUCCACUUGGUAGCAUAAACCUCUAGGGCAUGAACAAGCUGCAAACCCAUAUGAAGAAGAGCUAAAUCACAGGAGAAAGCAUCCACAUUGUCAACCAAUGAAUUUACAUCCACCAGUAAUUUUCCACUAUGCUGAAAGAGUAAGGUUUUAACUCUUGUUCCAUAAUCACAAACUCAGAAGACUCCUCUCCCUCAUAGGCACUUGUGUUUCAUUAUUUCCAGAUCAACCAAAAACCAGACAGGAAUCGAAUGCAUCCUACUUUUCUCGUUGCACAGCAAAUGAAUCCACCACCUACUUUUGUCUAAUUUAACAAGUAUAUAAUCAUUUAAUUUUCUAACCUCUUCAUCAGUUAUCCUCCCCUUUGGCCUCACCCAAAAAGGGCUCUUACAAGUAACAAGAGAUAAUGCACAGCUGUUGGAUAAUCCAAACUGGCUAAAAGCCAUAAAAACUUGAUAACUCUCUUCAUGUCUCUGUAUGCUACAUAAUUUGUAACUUUAGGACAGCUCAUUUUUUUUAUGCUUAAAUUUAGUCUUUCGUAUAUUUGGGGCUCUUGCUAUAAUCGUGAUCUUAUUAAUCAGGAAAACCCACAUUUUCCGACACCUAGAAUACCUUAUGGUGCAAGAGCUUUCUUAGCAAAGACUAGACAAGAAUUCAAAGCACCUAUAAGCCAACCAGAGAGAACUUCAACCAGUAAAAAUUAUCUACUGCAUGGAAGUGAAGGGCAUUGCCCCUAAAAGUAAAAAAAAAAAAAACGAGAACCCAUGUACCAGCUUGAAAAGGUCUUCCGUGCAUCCAGCCAUGGCUUUGCCAUGAACAAUGAUAUGGCUACAAGGAUCCUCUUUGCCGUGAACUGAUGAUGUCAAUGGAUAAACAGACAUGCCUCCGGUUUUCCUUCCAAUUAACUGAUUAAGUUGCACAAAAGUCAAGUUCUUUGUCUCCAUCUCCAGCAACGGCCGACUGUAAGAGUUUUAAGUAGAGCAAAAGAAUCAAAUUGAAAUGCCAUUCACUGACAAAGAAAGCACUUCAAAGAGAAAUUCAAUGUAUAUUGGAUUGAUCACUGCAGCCACCAAGAUCGGCAGCAUAGCAGAAAAAAUACUUUCUGUAUCUGCGCUUCCAAGGCAUAUCUGACACAUAAUGAUAUCAGAUUUGAAUUGAACCUUAUCAAGCCUGAACACCUAGUCUGAGUCUAGGUGGCUGUGUUAACAUUUACCAUCUUUAUGAAGUGACGAGACUGCUAUGCUAUCUCUUUGAUAAAACUUACAAAAAAGAGGUACCAAUUAAAGAAGUUCUUUCUUCAGAGAACUCAUAUUGAACAUAACCUCAGUGGAAAGAACAUCAUUCGUGAAGAGAUCGUGUUGCAGAACUUUCACACCAUUAAUAUCACCAACCUGCAUUACUAUGUGAACGUUAAGAAGUCUGGCAAUGCGAUACAUGGCAUGGCAUCACGAAGUUAGAAAGGUGAACGGGUGACCUCUGUAGGUACACGUAUAGGCAUUUUAGGAAUGUCAUGCAGAGAAAGGCUUGGGAUAGUUCUCAAAGCUUCUGGUGGGUCUGGACUUCCUGCUCCAAACGUAGCUCCCGCGUGGCACGUGCCUACUGAGCUAAAUCUUCUUCUGGCAUACUUGCUUUGACUCUCUAGAAUUUCUUUCUCAGCAGAUUCAUCACGGGAAGCUUGCUCUGGAUCAGGCUGAAACGGAUGACGCUCGUCACAAUAUGAAAUGUCAAACACGGAAGCGUUAUGGACUCUGUAAAGUUGCAUACCUGCAUUUCAACAGUAACAAGAUGCAGAUUUUUCAAGAUGAACUUCUCUGUCAGUGGAGAGAAAACAGCCUCGGAGCCUUCCUUGGCUAUUCUUGCUUUUAAGGCCAUCAAGGACUCCUCAUGAUUUAAUGGCUCAGAAGGAUCCAUGUGGUAUAUCCAUUUUCCCUAUAAAUUCGGAAACAGGUCAAGCAGUUGAACUGAGGAAGACAGUGACUAAAUACGAUUGCAAAAUCCAGCAACAAGAAAUGGAAGAGUAAAACUGAAGCAUAAGCUAGAAAAUGAAAGGCAAGGAAACAAAUGCAAGAUAUUUCCAGAAGUGAUAAUAUUGGAAUCAAUAUAUCCUCUUGUUUGAUAUUGAAACAUGCAUAUUAUGCCAUACAAAAAAGUUUGUAAACUGGUCGGGAUCAAGUUGUGUGGCUGAUUCGGCUAGAGCAUCAGAGACACCAGCUGGAUUAGAUAAUGAAUCAUGUGGAUCAACCAUUUCCAGAGCAAGGGGCUCAUCCCAUUUGUUAAUAGUUGCUUCAAUGCCAACUUCAGUCAGAUGUUCCUCCAACUGAGAAUAAAUUGUGCGCAUGGUGCAACCUAAUGAAAAUAGAGACUUAAUGUUAUCCUCGAUUAAAGUCGAACACUAAUUUCAGAGGGAAGAAAAAAAGCCCACAUGCUCGAAACAGGAUAUCAGGCUCAUGUUUUCUCAUGAAAGCCAGAAAACCAUCUGUGUAAUUCGUCAAAUGAGCAUAACAGACUUGUUAUGUAUCCCCCAAAACUCAUGGAUAAAAGAUUCUCAACAGGAAAGCAAUUCACUCCUCUCCCUUCUGCCAUGUGAUGAAAGUCGGAGAAAUUCCACAAAACUGCCACACAUGCUGUGAAGCAUGAGAGUUCAGAAGAUAAUCAAUGUCCUAACCUGCAGCUUGUGAUAUCGCCAUCGAUAAAGGGUCGUGGGUUCACUCCCAGAAAGAAGACGCACUCAUCCAAGAAUUAUGCGUUACUUCGGCCAUUUGGCGCCCGGUAUCUCGUCUUCAAAAUUGUUGCGACUCGACAUACCAUAGUAUAAAUCUAGCACCAGAAAGAAAAACAUAAAUGUUUCUCAUUUCAGUCUAGUAAACUUCCAUAAAUCAGAAUUGAACUCGUGAUCGAGCACCGCAUACAAGCAUCUCCAGAUUCUAUGUUGGAGGUAAUAGGUUUGAGAGAGAAAAGAUAGUUGCUUGAAGUAUUAUACCAAGAGACGUCAAGUUUAGAACGCUCAACAGUGUUACUUCCAGCGUAGGGAAACCCUAGAGUUUUUAUAUGCACGUUAUUGGGCUUCGGCCCAUAUGGACCCAAAUAACCAUGCUUUUACCUAUUGGGCUUGUAUGUGAUCAUAUUAUUUUGGACUAUAUUAAUAAUAUAUCCAACAAUCUCCUCCUAUGUUCACCAUACAGCACAAUCCAAUAAGUUGGUCAAUGUAAUGUUCAAAUAAACAUGAAUCAUCCACAUUCAGUCCAAGACAAUCAACUCGGAUCGGUCAAAGAGUAUUCCAGCAAUAAAGUAUUAAACUAAAUCAUCAUGUGCAAACUAAAUAAGUGAAUCAUUCUUAUCAUGAAUCUGUUUUGAGAUUAAAAAUCCAAAUCUCAAAAUAAAUCUCAGAUUCAGUUCACAACCAAUAUAUGCAUAUUAAUCAGGUAUAAGUAGGCCAGUCAAAAUAGUCUAAGGCCUUACAAAUAUAAGAAGCAAGCAUAAUAAUGUCCACAAAAUAGAAAUAGCAAAAUGCAAGUCUCAAGUAAAUGGACUUCAUCAAAAUAGGCAAUAGCAGGUAAACUGUCAAGUCCCCACACGCUCUAAGUGAUAUAUAUUCAUUCAUCAAGUAGGUCAUCAUGGUCAGGAUCCCACUCAUUAAGCUCUCCUCCAUCUCUGCCAUCCCCUGUAGAAUGUCAAAUAUGAAUUUCAUAUUAUCAUGAAUUCAUCAAUUGAAUAAAAACUUAGCACCAUUCCAUCAGGCGGAGAAGAACAUAUAUUGAUGUCAUAAAGCAUCAUAAUAUCAUGUCAUAAGCAUCAAGCCAGUUUCAUAAAUUAUGAACAAGACCUAAACAAUGUGAUUUACAAAGAGCCAUCAACUUGAGUUUAUUUGUAGGAGAAUAACUAUUGUCUAGUUUCAAAGAACAAGACCAAUAGUCAAGUCACUUACAACAACCUAGUCAUGUAAUAUCAAGUUUCAAUUAAGAACAAGACAAAUAGGCUUCUUAUGUAAACAAUUGUUUCUAUGUUUCAAUUUGGAAUGUCACAAUUACUGAUUCCUUAAAGUCAAAUAAUCUAGCAUCAAGUUUGGAAUGAGAUCAUUUAACCAAAAAGGAUAGUCCAAUCUAGUUGAAUUGUAUCAUCAAGUUUGGAAUGACACAAUUUUUCCAGAUAGAACAUUUGAAUUAGGUUAAAGUCAUCUUCAUCAAAUUUGGAAUGAGACAACUCAUCCUCUUCAAUUAGUCAGCAACUGUGAACAUCAAUGAAACAUAUAAACUGUGCUUAUCAUUGUAGCCAAUAUGCCGUUCAAAGCUUACUUUCAUACCAAGAAUGGUAUUAGCAAUACCAAGAUCUUUCAUGUCAAAUUCUUUAGCUAAAGUAGCUUUCACGUCACUCACUACAGAAUGAUCGGAACCAAGAAUUAACAUGUCAUCAACAUACAAGCAAAUGAUGACUAUCUUAUUUGACAUAGAACGAUGGUAAAGGCAUUUAUCUGAAUAACUAGACUGAAAGCCAUAACUCUUUACCACUUCAUCAAAUUUAAGAUGCCACAUCUUAGGUGCUUGUUUAAGACCAUAUAAAGAUUUGAUAAUUCAAAACACAGGUAAGUAAAUGGUAGUUAAGACUUGCCUAUAUAGUCUUUAACCCUAGUUCCCCCACUGUUUUGAAUAAUCAAUCUUUAGGCAUACCUUUGGUGAGAGUAUCGGCUAUGUUAUCCUUCGAUCUCACAUCGAUCAAGGUGAUAAGCCCUUGUUCUCUCAGAUAAUUCAACAACGCAUGUCUCAGUCUCACGUGUCUUCUCUUUGAAUUAAAGAGAGUAUUCUUGACGACUUGGACAGCUGCUCGAUUAUCACAAAAUAGGCUUAAAGAAUUAAUCUUUAGCCGAGUCAAAGGAAUAUCCAUAAUCAGAUUCUUUAUCCACUCUGCCUCUUCACCGGCUGAGGCUAAAGCAAAAAGUUCCGAUUCCAUAGACGACAAUGCAAUACAAGUUUGUCGUUUGGAUUUCCAAGUAAUAGCAGCUCCACCCAAAGUGAAUACAUACCCACUAGUGGACUUACUAUUUCCAAUAUCUGAGCACCAUGAGGCAUCAGAAUAUCCAUCCACAAUUGGAGGAUAACCAGAAUAAUAAAGCGCAUAAUCUUUAGUACCUUUAAGGUAUCUCAUUAGCCUAUUGAGGGCAUCCCAAUGCUCUUUACUAGGAUUACUAGUAAAACGACUCAGCAUGCCAAUUGUAAAGGCUAUGUCAGGUCUAGUGCAACUCAUAGCAUACAUGAGACUACCAAUCAGUUUCGAGUACUUUAACUGAUCCACGCUGGUCCCUUCAUUAGGACUCAGUCUAUUAUUAUAAUCACAUGGUGUCUCACUCGGUUUACACUUAUCGAUGGCUUCUUUGGCAACUUACACUCUGCUGCCCAGUGACCCCACUUUCCACAGUUAUGGCACUUGCCCUUCUUCUUCUUUUUGAAGAUAGUCUUUUUGGCCUCUAACUGUAAAGAGGAUUCACCUUUUGGUGACUUGGACUUUUUCUAAGGUUUAUUGGAGUGUGAAACUAAGUUGGCAACUGACUUUUGUUGUCCCACUUGUUCCAAACUCUUCCUAGUGAUAUUUUGAUCCUCAAUGUGAAUAUACCUCUUUAAUUCAUCCAGUCCCAUCUGUACCUUCAGUCUGUGCAUUUCAGUCUUGAAAGAACUCCAUUCAGUUGGCAGUUUGCUCAACACAAGACCAACAAAGAGAUUAUCGAACAUAUCAGAAUUAUCAUCUUUCAGCUUGUUUCUCAUGUUCUCAAAUUCAACUAACUGAGAGGUGAUGCUUGAAUUCAUAGUGAAUUUAAAGUCAAAGAAUUUCUCCGCUAGGAGGGUUUUAGAUAACCCCUCUUGUUUUUGGAACUGAGCGUUUAAGUGAUCCCAUAUCUCUUUCGCCGUCUUAUACUCACUAUAAGUCAUAGCCAAAUUAGGAUUUAGAGAGUUCAGCAAGUAAUCUCUACAAAAAUCCUCAUCUUUGUUCCAUUGAUAUUCAUUCACAUCUUCAGUGGUAGAUGUAAAAUCGCUCAAUACAGUAUAAAAUAUGUCACGUUCUUUCAUGCCAAAUUGAACAUGUAAUUUCCAGCCAUGAAAUUCAGUAACAUCAAAAGAUUGCAACUUUAUAAUAUCAUAGGAACUACGCUUUGCCAUUUUAAUCAAAGCAAAGUGUUAGAAAGAGUGCACCUUGAAGUCCUUAGAGCAACAAAGUUGAAUAACUCCCCUAACCUUGAUCAAACCGCUCUGUAGAGAUGGAAUUUGCCAAAACAAACCCCAAAAACGGAUCUAGAGCGCCCAAAAACCUUAAGAUGGACUGCCCUUGUUGCUGAAACUCGCUGAAAAAUUUCGCCCCCCGAAAUUCGCUAGAAAUUUCGUCCCCAAAAUUCGCUAGAAAUUCAAAUGGAAACUUCUGGGUGCCAUAACUUCUCCGUCCGACCUCCGAUUGACGCGAGUGACCACUCAAAACGUUCGCAGCGACGAGUAGAUCAAAGCCCAAGUGUUUUCACCCUCUUAAAUUGGCUAUAAUUUUUGGGUUUUUGAAUCAAAGAUUUCGGUCACCCGAAUCUUCAAACUCAGAUCCCGGCCAAUAUCACCGUCAAAAUCGAAAGUAAAUUACAGCCGCGAGUUCGUCUUGACGAAAUCUUCAAGAACACACUUUACUCGCUCAAAUCCGACACACGAACCUAAUACUUCAAGAUUGUUGGAGGUAAUAGGUUUGAGAGAGAAAAGAUAGUUGCUUGAAGUAUUACACCAAGAGACGUCAAGUUUGGAACGCUCAACAGUGUUACCUCAAUCGUAGGGAAACCCUAGAGUUUUUAUAUGCACGUUAUUGGGCUUCGGCCCAUAUGGACCAAAAUAACCAUGCUUUUACCUAUUGGGCUUGUAUGUGAACAUAUUAUUUUGGACUAUAUUAAUAAUAUAUCCAACAUUCUAGUCCCUAUAUAAUUCCUCUAACUGUACUUCCAACAGUUGGAGCAGCAACUGCACAAAUCACGAUGCCUAAAAGCGAAACUCCGUGAUAAACUAAGACGCAUUUGCUCAUACGUGUGCAGCAAACACGACCAAAUUUCUCGUGACUAAAAAAAACAAAAAAAGGCAAAGGCAACACCUCGUAUGCCUUCGGUUCGGUCGGGUUGCUUGGGGAUCCUGCCUCGUCGGAAGGCUUGCAUACGGUAACUUUGACGAAGAGCGUGGACUAGUCCUCGAUGGAGGUUUUGACGGAGGGAGCAGAGCUCGGGCUUCUCGGUCGCCAGUUGGGAGGGACGGAGGGAGACACUUGCGCUUCCGAAUUUUUUGACGGUGGCCCCAAAUAUGACACGUGUCGUUGUGCACGUUCAUGCUAGAUGACCACGUGUGGCCAGAAAUUUUUUGCCUGAUAUUAAUGCACGAUUUAUCAAACGUAAGUUUUAUUCUACCUUUAUAUACGUGAAAAUAUUAUUAAUUUUAUUGUUAUCUAUAUAAUGUGUGGUGAUUGACCCACAAAUAAUCAUGGAUCUAAAUAAAUGCGUCAUUAAGACUACUAUGUCCGGCUUUUUGGACAUUCGUCAGAAGGGCAAAAAGGAUAAGAAAAGCUUAAGAAAUAGAAUCGUAGUGCCUUAGCCAAAAAGAGGCGUCUUGAGUUAAUCCAUUUAGACCCUUUUUUAAAUAGCGUUAAGUAAUCCCUGUAUGAUCACCUCUAGAAAAAAAACCAAUUUGGAUAGGAAAAAAAGGAAUGAAAUGAAAAUUAAAUUGAUCGAGUACAUAACAUGGGGGUGAGGUUCACCAAAUGCAAAUUAUGUAUGCGAUAAUAUUCUCUUUGCUCCAAAUUAGAAGUACUUAUUACAAAUAACAUCCAAUGGAUGCACAAAUAAAGUCAGGAGCUUCAAUCAAACUGAACUUUGAAAAAGGGCAAAUCGUCGAGCGACUGAAUAAUCUUUUGAAACCAGUCGAGAACUUGCAAAUGUAGACCGAAUGAUGCUAUAACAAACACAAGCAAGCAUGUAUUGGCAAUUAACAAUGUGGGAAGAGGUAGGCUGCUCCAAAGAAACAAUUCAAAACCAAGAGUCCCGAAAAUUGACAUACAAGUAUUGGUAUAUCGGUUUCGGAAUUGUUGAUCAUGUCACUUUAAUCAGUGUUAUGAAAUAAAUAGCUUUGCAAAUAAUGUAAAGCUGUAGAAAUGUGUUGCUCAUUGCCUCAGUAUGCUGAGAAUUAAAAUGGCCUAUUACGAGCAAUUUGAACGAAGUGAAUGCAAUAUGAAAUAUUUUGGUUAAGUCAAAAUUGUGUUGUGGUUGCUGCUGAUAUGGCUGCUUGUCACCCCUACAUUAAAUCAAGAAGAAAUUAACUGGUAAAAAGGAUUGACUCUAAAGAGAGAAGAAAUCGGCUGCUUUAUCGUGCUCUGAGCACAAAGAACUGAAGAGCGGUGAAUGAAUUAUGUACCUAUCCAAAGUUUCUGUUUGACUCGGCAUGUUGUGGAGAAGGCGGGCGUGUUCACAGAACAAGGAGGAUUCGAAGAGCCGGAAGAGACUUUGCCGGUGCCCAGGAGAACCUCCGCUCACUUGAACGAUGUUUGAUCUCGAGCUUUUGUUCUGUAUAUGGGUGUGAAGUAGCGAAGGACUUGCUUCAUGCAUGAAUUUAUACAGUCCCACGCAUGAGCUAAAAGAGCAACAGGGAGAGGGGCUCGCCUCCAAACAUCUCCACCGUAGAUCCAUCUGUUCGACAUUGGAAAAGUCAAUAGAUCUACGGUCGAGAUGUUUGGAGGCGAAAUGCAUGAAUUUAUAGAGUCCCACGCAUGAGUUAAAAGAGCGAAAGGGAGAGGGGCUCGCCUCCAAACACCUCCACCGUAGAUCCAUCUGUUCAACACUGGAAAAGUCAACAGAUCUACAGUCGAGAUGUUUGGAGGUGAGGUUUUCGCCUCCAAACAUAACAUCUCGACCGUAGAUCCAUUUAUUAGAGAUUGCAAAAGUCAACAGAUCUACGGUCGAGAUGUUUGGAGGCGAGGUAGAUCCAGUCCUCCCCAUGGGCUCCAUGGGAACGCGUUUCCUCAACCUUUAUGUCUUUUUCUCACAUGUACAAUGGGGCGGCUGCUUCCUAAUUUGUUAAUUCUUGACUAAGUUCUGCUCCCUCUUAUGUUUAGUCAUGCGAGUAGUUACUUCUCGAUUAAGUUAAUAUUUCAAAGCCAUUUUUUUUUUCAUUAUUUGUUAUACAACUUAUGUACAACGAGUAUUUAGAAAAAUCUAAUGCUGAAACCUUUUAUGAUGCCUUUAAAAUAUUUAUAAAAUUUUGUGGAAUCAUUGUCAAUUGUUUUAAAAACUUAAACUUAGAUGAAAGCAAAUUUAAUAUUUUACUAGCAUAUCAUUUUUCCUCAUGCUUAGUCUAGCCUUUUUGUCAUAUUUAAUUAGAGAUGUGUUGACACUUAAAUUUUGGCAAUCCAGUCAUUUAUUUAUUGCAUAAAAAUUAAUCCAUAAUUUUUAACCCCUAAAAAAAUUUAAUUAAUUAAUUGCAUAGCAUAUAAUUUUACGUGCAUUUAUUUUUAAUUUACAUUUGCAUUGGACUGAUGACAAAUGGGUGCGAAUUUGUGGUUUUGAACUUUAAAUUGACGGGUUGGACUAAGCACACCAAGGGAGCAAAUUGGCUUAAACCCUUUUUUUUAUGAUGAAAAAAUUAUAUUGUGAAAAAUAGAGAUUUGAAAUUUGCCGAGAUAUGAUGGAAAUUUUUUAAUAUCUUCAGAUAGGGCAAUUGUGAUAAAGAAAAAUAUUGUGAGCUCAUCUUUGCAGGAUUAGAAAUUUGAGAAAAAUUCUCGGAAAAAAUUCUCAUGGAUAUUAAUUUAAAACUUUAGUCCACUCAUCUGUGCUACGGAUACGACAGGGGUUUUUUUUUUUUUUUUAUUUGAUCACAUCGAGGGGGCUUUUUCUCGGUUUUCUAGGUCAAAAAUUGAGGACAAAAGAGAAAAAUUUCUGUCUUCACUUUUAGGUUUUUUGAGGUUUUUUCCUUCGUUGUUUUGGAAAAGCAACACAGAAGGAAAAAAACAGAAGAAUUCGUGGAAGAAAGAAGGCAAAGUCAAAAGAGGGCAGAGAGGGAAGCGACGUGAACAGGGGGGAAAAAAGGGGAAAAAUCCGGCAGAAGGGUGAGGGGACAGGUGAGAGAGAAAAAAAAGAAAAAAAAAAAGGGGAUACGGGAACAGUGUCGUCUUCUUCGCGAGGGCAGCCUCGCGCCCCGCCGACCACUGCCGCUCCGCCAGCAGCCCGCGAAGCCGCCGCUGCCUCGCCGCUUCGCCCGCCCGUUUGUCCCUCGCGUCCACCGUCGCCUCUGCAGUUUCCAGCGCCGACGCCCGCCACUGCUGCUCGCGACCUCGCCCGCCUCACUGCCGCUGCUGGUCCGCCGCUUCCCUCUGCCGGACUGCUGCCGCAGCAGCACCUCCGCACCUGCACCCUUCCGCGACGCCGAACGGUCGCCGAGCCCCCUUGCCGCGCGACCUGCAACACCUGCCGUCGCUGCUGCCGGUCAACGCCGUUUGCAGCGCCUCCGAGCGACGCCCGCGCAAGCUCUCAGUGCCGCCUCCGCCCGCCGCAGGUCCCCUCGCGUCUCUGCGAGAGACCGGGCCCUCUGCCUGAGCUUCUGCUCCGCCUCCGUCCCUGCUCUGCCCCCCCGCCACCGCUCGUUCGUCGCCGCUGGUUGCCGCGACGCAGCCGCUGCUGUCCCUCGGCCCGACGCCCCUGCCACCGUCGCCGGCGCCAGCAGCCCGAGCCGGUCGCUGCGCCCCCGAAGCCCGCGACCUGCGGUACGCGCCCCUGCUGCAGCACCCGUGACUCCGAGCGACGCCACAAUAGCAGCCCCCCUGCCCUGCUGGUCCGCCCGCCGCCGGUUCACUCGCCGGAGCUCCGGCGAUCCACCAUCACGGCGACCCAUCCUUGAGCCACGCCGAGCCUCUAUCGUGGGUCCGAGCUGCCGUUGCUAAGCCUCGUUUAGAAGUCCAAAAUCCCAAUUAGGUAGAUUUUUUUUUUCUUUAUUUGAAAUACUCCUUAAUGUAAGAUUGAAAUUCCGUGAAGUAACAUUUUAAAUUAGCGAUUGAUAGUCCGAUUUUCACGCCUGAAAUCUGACUCGUAAUUGUAUGAGAAAUCAUCAAUUCAAUCUCACGCUCGAGAUUCGCAAUUUUAUUUAAAAUUAACCUAUCCGAUCCUAUGUAUGAGAUAUAAUUCGUCAAUUUAUAAAUAUCAAUCUUAUCUUGCUAGAUGUGUUGUCGUGUUAUUUGAAUCGAUUUCGGUUUUGUAAAAAAUCCAAAAAAUUUGAAUUAGAUUAGGUUCUUUGCUUGUUUUAGGGUUAUCUUGUAAUAGGAAAUUUAUUUUGAUUUUUUAAAAAUAAAAUCCAAACAAAAACAUCAGCUUAGGAUGUUAGUUGUUUUAGGUUGCAUGUUUAUUAAUUUUAAUUUCGAAUUUUAUAAAAAAAUCCUAGAACUAUGGCACUUUUUGCACGUCAUUACAUAUUAGGAUAAGAUUUCAUGUUUAAUUUUUAAGUUUAGAUAUUUUUUCUUAGAUAGGUUGCAUUUUAGGUUAGGGAUUACCAAGUUGAGAUAAUGUCCUAGUUUAAAUUAAGAUUUGGCAUAACCUAAUUCUUAAUAUAAGUUAGGUGAGAUCUCAAUCUGGAUAGAUAAUUUUUGCGAUUUUUUAAUUUCGAAUUUCAUGGAAAAUACCCAAAAAAAAAUCAUCUUAGAAUAAAUUAAUUUUAUUUUCUAGAAUAGAUUGCAUGCUCAUUAAAAAAACACAAAAUAUUUCACUUACGUCAUAUAGCUUAAAUCAUAUUGCUAUGUCAUAUCAUUUCAUGUUAGAUUAGUAGCAUGCAUUGCAUAAAGUAUGAUUCUUAUUAAACAAGUGAAAACAAAAAAAGUAACUGCGUGUUAAUUAGAAAUCAUAUUUAGGGUUGUCGAUGUGAAUUCUAAUCUAAUACUACAAAUGCUUUCGUUGUUACGAGGUAAGUUCUGUAAUUUAUUCAUUACUUUUUCUUGGAUGUUAAAUUAGUGAUUUACGGACCCGCAUGAUCACCCCGUAUGUUAAGAAAGUAAAUUAAAAUCAAUUCAUGCUGCUUGCAAAAUAUUUUUUUUUUCAAAAUAAAAGAGAAAAUGUAUCGAAAGGGCAUUAGAGAAAUCUAGUGUAAUCAAGUCUCCAAACUCAUAAACCUCUGGUUCGUAAGAUUAAAGUGAAUCUCCCCUUACUUUACUUGGAUUUCCAAUCGACUAUCGAAAAUAGAUUGGUGACGAUUCCUAAUUGAAAAAUUAAUGGCGUGUUAAAAACUUGAACCUAAGUCUCGAAUUGGUAUAGAUUUAGGAGAGCCCGAAUUAAGUCUAAACUUAACAAUUCAUUAGUCAAACCUUAGGUGGUUCACCUGAUAUUAGGUCGUGACAAGAAGCAAAUGAAGCACGAAAAGAUUUGAGACCUACCAAUGCUGAUUGUUUUAGAACAACUGGCACUAAUCUCACAAAAUAUUCACGUAAAAUGUUUUUUUUAAUACUUUUUCUCACAUUUAAAAUAUAAUUUUUUUAAAAGUCUCAUGAAAAAUCUCAAAGCAUAAACAAGUAAGAUUAAGAUCGAAUUGCAUAUAUUGCAUAUCCUAUAAUUUUAUUUUCAAAUCAUAUUCAAUUAAAACACACAGAGUAUAUUCUCAAACGAUAAAUUCAUGUAUAAAAAGAAGAAGAAAACUACCAAGAACUCUAGAUUUUUUUCCAAAAAAAAAAAUAGAGAGAGAGGUUUCAGUGGUCGCGUUACAGUAAUUUGGGUCGAAAUUCAUCUAGAAGUUCGACGAAGGGCUGAAGAAAGUGGCGUGUUUGGGUAAAAACUAAGUAAAGGUUUUGGAAAGGGGAAAAAAAAUGAUAGUUUACUAAGGCCGCGCAUGACAAAAUUUUUGAAAUAAAAAUCAAUUUCUAUUCUAUUGACAAUUUUUUCAACAAAGAAACGUGUUUGAUAACGAUUCAGAAUUUCUAUUUCUAGAAUAAAAUUUCGUUUGAUAAGAAAAUAAAACUUUGUCAGAACUCGAAGGAAGGGAUGAAGCAAGAUUCGGAAGAGGAGGAAAGAGACGACAAAGGAACAGAUUUGGGGAGAAUUUCUUUUCUAUGUAUUUUUCUAUAUCUCGACAAUGUAUAUCGAUGAAUAAUUAUAAUACAAAGUGUACACAAAAAAGACAAUGUAAUAUCAUACAUAUCAACCUAAAUCAAUCUAGCUUUUAGAUUGAUUCUAUAAAAUCAAGAUCGGAUCAAUUAGUAUUCGAAGAUCUUCUGCAUAUCUUCCAACACUCCCCCUCAAGCUGGUGGCUUGUAAAUGUCCAAGACACCUAGCUUGCUUAAUAGAUAUGCAUGUUGUCUUUGACACAGCGCCUUGGUAAACACAUCCGCAGGCUGUUCAGCAGUUCCAAUCCCUCUCGUCUCAAUUGUUCCUUCUUGAAUCUUCUCCCGAGUAAAAUGACAAUUCACUUAUAUGUGCUUAGUUCUCUCGUGCAUUACAGGAUUCGCUGCAAGCUUCAGGGCCGACUCGUUGUCACAGUAUAACUUUGUCGGACCUUUCAAUCGUACUCCAAGGUCACUGAGCAAUUCUUGUAUCCACACAACUUCACAUGUGGUUUUUGCCAUGGCCUGAUAUUCUGCCUCUGCUGAUGAUAGAGAAACUGUUGCUUGCUUCUUGGUUUUCCAUGAGAGGAGGGAAUCUCCAAGCUUGAUACAGAAGCCAGUUAUGGAUCUUCGACUCAUAGGACAUGUCGCAUAGUCUGCAUCGCAAUAUGCUGUCAUUUCCAUAUUGCAUUUUCUGGAUAAAAGUAUUCCGAGUCCUGGACAUCCCUUCAAAUACUUGACCACCUUCAGAGCAGCAUUCAUGUGAGUUUCUUUCGGUUUGUGCAUGAAUUGACUCAGAUUCCGCACCGCAUAUGAUAUAUCAGGCCUGGUCAUAGUCAGGUAUGUGAGUUUUCCAACGAGCUUCUGGUAACUCGUCGGAUCUUGUAGUAUAGGAUCAUCCUGAAAUGUUCCCCCAGCAUGAUCUGCUGUAGUUAGCCUGACGUUCUGUUCGAUUGGAAUGACAGCUGGCCUGCACCCUGAUAAUCCGGCCUCUGAUACGAUCUCCAAUACAAACUUCCUCUGACUGAGAGAAAUCCCUUGGUGAGAUCGCGCGAUCUCAAUCCCAAGAAAAUAUUUUGGUGUUCCCAGAUCCUUUAUAUGAAAAGCGGUAUGCAAGUAUUUUUUAAGACUCUCUACUGCAGCUUCAUCGUUUCCCAUGAUAAGGAUGUCAUCUACAUAAAUCAUCAAGUAGAUAGAUGACGUACCUUUGGUCCAUGUAAACAAGGCAUAAUUGUACUUUGAUUGUUUGAAGUUGGCAUUGGUGAGAGCAUUGGCGAAUUUAGCAUACCAUUAUCUGGAAGCCUGUUUCAGCCCAUAGAGGGAUUUACGGAGACGACAUACUUUAUCCUCCCCCUGUCUCCGUAAGCCCUGAGGAAUGUCCAUGUAAAUUUCUUCAUCCAGAUCACCAUGAAGAAAAGCGUUGUGGACAUCCAUUUGGUGUAAUGACCAAUCAUGGAUUGCUGCAACAGAUAAGAAUGAUCGAACAGUGAUAUCCUUGGCCACUGGAGAAAAAGUUUCGUUAUAGUCGAAACCUUUGCGUUGUGUAUAUCCUUUUGCCACCAAUCGAGCUUUGUAUCGUUCAAUGGAUCCAUCAGCUCUAUAUUUUAUUCUGUAGACCCACUUGCAUCCUAUGGACUUCCUAUCUCGAGGAAGAUUAACUAUCUCCCAUGUUUGAGUAUCGGCCAAUGCCUGUAAUUCUGCAGCCAUCGCCUUUUGCCACGGUGGGUCUUUGGAUGCCUCGUCAUAACUAGACGGUUCUUUUUCAUCUGAUAUACGACUAAUGCAACAUUUAUGUUUCAACGAAAGUCUUUCAAAGGAAACAUAAGAAGAUGUCAGAUAGUUAAUACCUGGUCCAUUAAGUGAGGCACAGACAUAAUCUUUAGUCCAUGUCGGUCGUUUUGUGGCUCUCUUCGAACGUCGUGGAUGGUUCGUUGGUCGUGGAGGAGGAGAUAUUUCUGCAGCAUUGUUUUCUGCAUGAUUAGCAGAAUCAUUCUCAAUGUUGGAUGAAGUACUGGGUAUGUUGUCCAACGUCUCUGUCUGUGGUGAUUGAUCAAAUGGUGGGAUGACUUGCCCCAGUGAUGCAGCGAGAAAGUAUUCAGGAGAUAGAUUAUCUUCAAUUGGAAAUUGAUGUGAGCUAUUGGAGAUAUUCGAAUCCCUAAUAGUCUCAUGGAAUGGAAAGACAGUUUCGUGAAAUAUGACAUCCCUGCUCACAAAAAAUUCCUCUGUCGAUGGAUCCAAAAUGUAAUACCCUUUCUGUAGGUUAGGGUAACCCAUAAAAAUGUCUUUCCUUGCUCGUGGACCCAUUUUAUCUCGAGGUCCCACAGUUGUAGCAUAACAUAAACAACCGAAGACUCGUAGAUGAUCUACUGCUGGUUUUUUUUUUUCCAUAAAGUAAUUCAAAAGGUGACUUACCAGCUAAGAUCUGAGUAGGCAUACGGUUGAUGAGAUAGGCUGCAGUAAGGACACAAUCUCCCCAUUAUGUUGCUGGUAUGGAUCCCUGAAAUUUUAAAGCACGUGUGACUUCUAGCAAGUGACGAUGCUUACGUUCCACUACUCCAUUCUGUUGUGGAGUAUAAACACAAGAGCUUUCAUGUAGAAUGCCAUGAAGCAGGAAGAGUGAUCUGCAUUCAUGACUAAGAAACUCUUUUCCAUUGUCAGUCCUUAUUCGCUAGAUUGACUUCCCAAACUGAUUUUUAGUCAGGAUAAUGAAUGUCUUCAAAUAAGAUGGAACCUAUGCUUUUGAUUGCAUCAAGAAUACCCAUGUGGCUCGAGAGUGAUCAUCAACGAUAGUGAGAAAUUAUCGUGAACUGUCACGAUGUGCUGUGUGAUAUGGCCCCAAACAUCCACAUGCAUUAAGGAAAGGAUAUUAUUGGAACGUUUUGCAUUGGAAGGGAAAGCUGCACGAGAUUGUUUUGCUAAAGGGCAAACAUGACAGUUAGGGUAUGGAAAGAAGGUACUAUGUCCCAUUCGUGAAUGCAAAAGAAAAUCUUUAUCAUUGGCAAUGACGUUACACAAUGACAUUUUAUUGAAAGGAAUUGAACCAUGAUGACUUGAAGUGCUGGUCCAGAAAUAUAGACCUUCAGAAAUAUUACCCAAGCCCAUCAAUUUCCCAGUCGAAAGGGCCUGAGAAAAACAUGUGUCAGCAUCAAAGAGUAUUUGGCAAGAGUUUUCUUUGCAGACUUUGGACACGGAAAUGAGGUUGAACUGGAAUUGUGGGACAUAAAGGACAUUUUGCAGGAUAAUUUGGGGGCUUAAUUGAACAGUUCCUGUCAAUGUGACAUGAGUAAUAUUUCCAUUUGGAAGUUCCACAGAAAUGGGUUCCUCCAAUUCCUUAUUCCUUUUUGAAAAAAAGCUCAAAUCACAAAUAAUAUGAUCAUUCGCUCCUGAGUCAAUUAUCCAUGCCCUUUUUGAAAUUGAGUUUAUCAGGCAGUGAGAUAUACCUAAGAAGCUUCCCCCUGUUUUUCCAAUGUCUGUUUUCUACAAUGCCUGCAUCAAUUGCUAAUAUUGCCCAUGAGUAAUGGGCCAGUCACUAUUUAUCCCAGUAGGUCCAGUCACUUGGUAAGCUGCAGAAUAUUCUCUCCUUUUUCCUUUUUCUCCUAGCUUUCCAUGUAAUUUCUAGCAAUUAUCUAUAGUAUGAUGCGGACGUUUACGGUGCUCACAGUACAAUUUACCUUUCCCUUUCGAAUUUUGGCUGAAAUUUCGUAUGGAAAAAAUCUGGCCGUCGGAUCCCUUGAUUCCCGAAUUAUCUCCAUCGUUCGAUCUAGCGAACAGAUCAGCUCUUUGCGGACCGUCAGAUCUUCGGGAUAAAUCGGAGCCAUCAGAUCUCCUCGAGAAAUCUGUGCCGUCGGAUCGCCUGCUUAAAUCCUGGCCGUAGUUUCCAUCCCUUUUAAUGGAUCGUUCAGCCAUUUCGAACCCUAGCCCUUCGCGAUUCUCUCGAGCUAGGGUUUUUGCUCCCAAUUCUCUCCUGCGGCGUUCUCCGCGUAGGGCGAGGGCUACGGCGUCGCCUCCUCGUGUCUGUUCCGAAGCCGUGAGUCGUUGGCUCUCCUCUUGGACGGCCAACUGGAAAAUCCCGCCGAGAGGCGGCACGGGGUCCAUCGCCAGAAUCUGCGAUCUAAAGGUCAGGUAAGAUUCAUUCAAAAUCAAGAGAAAUCGAGUGGAUUUCUCCCUCUCCUUCAUCGAUCUGUACUGCCUGAGUGUCUUUGGGGGUCCCUCGAGCUUUUCCUCUGCGGCCUCGAGCUCAUUCCGGAGCGAUGAGAGUUUGUUGUACACCGUCGUUAUUGACAUGUUUCCUUGUUUGAGAUCCGUGAGUUCCUACGUGAGACAGAAAGUUUUUGCUUGAUCUAACUUUCCGUACAUCUCUUUGAUGUUGUCCCUCAUGGUUUUCGAAUCUUCGGUCGGUGGGAGGCCUGCUGCUACGUCUAGGGAGACACAGUUGCCGAUCCAGGUGCAGAUCAGGCGAUUGCACUUUCUCCAGUGCCUUGCCAGCCUCUCGUCCAACGGGAUCGGCACGGUUCCGUCGAGGAAACCGUCCUUAUCCUUUGUUGCAAGAGCCCUCCGGAAGUCUUGUGACCACUUGCUGUAAUUUUCUGGCCCGAUUAGUUGCAGACUGAUGAGUCGCACUUCUGGACCGUCGGCGGUAGAUACAUGCAAGGGGUCCCCUGGUUCCGGUCGGCCGGUGAUAGCCGCAAUCGGAUACAGAAAGAAAUUGGGUGGAAAAUUUGGGUUUGGGUAGGGAUUCGUCCCUGUACUCGACCCAUCGAAUCCAGAUCCAUGCCCCGCAUUGAAGAGACCCGGGUGAAGGUUUGUUCCCGAUCCUGCUUCUCUAGACCCGCUUCUUGGUUCUGUCUCGGUGGUUGAGUUUGCCUCGCUUGCGGUUGGUAGACCUCCAUCGAGCUUAACAGUGCUCUGGUAAUUCAUUACCCCUGGUAAUGAUGGAUUCGGGCCUUAUCCGACGUACCAUGGAUAGGGUACCCAUUGGUAAGGUUGGCCCGGAAUGGGCUGCCCCACAUUCACCUGAGCCGAGAACAUCUGCCAUUGUUGCUGUGUCGUUGCAUUUGCAGGUACCACAUCGGUGUUGCGGCCUUGCGUCUCCACCGUCGGUGUGACAUUGCUUGUGGAAGGAAUUCCUAUGCUGACGGGAGGUAGGUUUUCUGGAUUCAUGGUAAGUAGAUCCUCUCCGCUUCUUCUCCCUUCUUACGAUAAUUGAUUCUCUCGUAACAAGACGUAGAUCUGUCUUGCAGAUUCAAACGAAAGCAAUCUGGUGCGGAAGUUGGAGCUUAGAGCCAUAGCUCUGAUACCAUGUCAGAGCUCGAAGCAAGGGAUGAAGCAACAUUCGGAAGAGGAGGAAAGAGACGACAAAGGAACAGAUUUUGGGAGAAUUUCUUUUCUGUGUAUUUUUCUAUAUCUCAACAAUGUACAUCGAUGAAUAAUUAUAAUACAAAGUGUACACAAAAAAGGCAAUGUAAUAUCAUACAUAUCAACCUAAAUCAAUCUAGCUUUUAGAUUGAUUCUAUAAAAUCAAGAUCGGAUCAAUUAGUAUCCGAAGAUCUUCUGCAUAUCUUACAACAAACUUCUAUUUCUAAAAGCGGCGAUAGCCGGCGUUUGGUGGCCGGAGUCUGAUGUCCGGCGAUGGGUGUUUGGCGUUCAGCGAUCGACAGUGGGUGGUCAGAGUCCGGCAUUCGGCGGCUGACGUCUGAAGUUCAACGUUCGGCAUAUGACGUUCGGAGGCCAACGAUCGGUGGCUAGCGGCGAGUGGCCAACGGUUAGGUUCCAAUGGUUGAUGGUGAGGGGCCAAUGCUGGUGACGAGGGCCAAUGGCUAAAGUCUGAUUGACGGUGGCGGGUGCCCAAGCUAAAGUCUGACGAUCGGUAGUGGGGGGCCAACGGUUGGAGUCUGGCCGUUGGCAACUAGGGGCGAGUGGCCAAUGGCCGGAGCCCGAUAACCCCCGACCGGCAGUUGGUGGUGGGUGGCCAACAGCCAAAGUCCAACAGUUGACAUCCGAUGGCCAGUGGUGACCAACGGGCGAUCGACUAGGGACGUUCGGUGGUCGAUGGUGGGCCUCCGGUGUCCAGUGGUUGGCGAUGAGUGGCCGACAACUGACAGGCAUCCAACAUCUGACGGUCGGUAGUUAGUGACAAGUGGCUAGAGUUCGGUGGCUAACAGCCGGCAUUUGGUGGCCGAUGGUCAGGGGUGAGCCGGCGACUGGUGGCGAGCGUUCGGCAUCCCACGGGCGGCGGGUGGGGGACAGAUGAUGACGAGAGUGAAUGAUAAAAAAAAAAUUGAUUUCUCAUUUUUGUUCUAAAAAUAGAAAAGUUAAAACUUUUAACUUUUGAUUUUUACUCCAAAUCUAUUUCUGGAAUAAAAAUUUAUUCCAGUAAUAAGAAAUUGAAAUUGUGUUACCAAACGGAUUUAUAUUGCAAACCUAUUCCCGGGAAUAGAGAAACAGAGAAAUAGAGAAAUGGAAACGUUGUCAUGUGCACCCUAAAAGAGUUGCUUUAAAACUGGCUCUUCCUUUUCGGGGAUCGAGAAAUCAAAUUGAAUCGGUUUGUUGGGUCAACGAUGGUCUCCUAGUUAGUGCCCCUACCUACGUGCACUCUUCGUUCAGUUCAUCCAGCUGACAGGCGGUGGCCACUCUCCUUCAUUCACCCAUUGCCACUCGUCAGGUCGCUUAGCCGCCGAAGCUCCGUCGUGCUCUGCCGCUUCAGUUGAGCUGGUUGCUUCUACAGCAAAAGCUCUGGCUUUCGAGUCCAUUGCCAUUGAUCAUUUCCCUUCAUGUCCCUAUUCAGGUAGAGAUGUCUCUGCAUUCACACCGUAACCAACCUCACAAGAGUUUCUUUUUUGGAACUUGCUUGAUUUUUGGUUGUAACAGGAGUCCAUGCAGGAGGAAGGAUUAAUGGAAGUAGGAUAAGAAACAACAGAUGAAGGAAUCAAAGAAGGGGAAGAAGGAAGAGCAUUGGAAGUAGGAGAAGAAGAAGAAGAAGACGUGGAGGAGGUGGAGAAGCAGUCCCAAUUCGCAAUGUCCGAAUGCUCAUGGAGGGCUUCACACGCGUGGCCGGUUGUACACACUUCAUAAACCUGUCCAAUCGAAGACAGAAACUCUCCACUCGUGUCCGUGCUUCCCCUUUGGAGGUCCUAAACUUCUCCUUAUGUUGCUUGGCUAUCCCUUUUUUUUUUUUAAAUCUAUUUCAUCUAACUAUCGGCAACGCCUGUUGCUAAGUCCAGUGACUGCUUGAUUCUUUUAUGUUGCUAAGUCCCUUUGGCUAAGACGUUUGGCUUGCCUGAAAAGCCUAAGUUGUUCAACGCCUAGAGAAGAAUUUUAUAGUGAUUUGGCCCCUCACAAGCCUGUAAGCUCUCGCUUCUCUUACCAUUCGACUAUGUCAUAAGCAUCUCUUUUAUUGAACUAAAUGGUGUUAAAAGUGUUAAUCUCUCCCUGCAUGUCGAGUUCGACUUCGCCUAAUCUCCCAACAAUCGUCACCAGACAUUGCUGAUAAAACUGGUAAAGAGAAUUCAUGAUUGGUUGCAUGUGUCCAUUUAGAGCACAUUCUUCGCUUGAAAGAAGUUUGGACGCUCCUUUUUUGCAGCUUCAGCAUCAUCAUUAGGAGAUGACGCCAGAGCUCCCUUGUCUUGGACCGAUUCAAUUGCAUCGGUAAAAUCUCUGAGAUCCUUCAACCUGUGAAAAAGAAAAAGGAUGGUUAGAAAGAAAAUAUCGGAAGAAAUGCGAGAAUUUCCUUGUGCCGAGCAUUGGAUGAUAGCGACGAAAUUAGCAGAGUUUGGCCUACUAUAUUAAUUUAACGUGUAUAAAAGUGAACCUCAAUUCUUGCUUUGCUUUGGGACACAAACUUCUUAAACCUUUGCUGAUCAAUAAACUGUACUUCUUCAAUAAUGCAAUUAACCUUACAAGUACAUAGAAAUAUAAGCUAUUUCUAGAUUGCAUACUAGAUUGAAAUGAUAAAGAAGGUUUUAGCAGAAGUCAAAGCCCAAGGAAGAGUGAGCAUUAGAAUAAUAAAGUAAACAUAUAAACUAAAUCCAUUGUUAUAACAUAAACAUGCAAACGUUGAGGUUUCUUACUUAUGCUUUUAAGAUAACAAGGCUACCUUGGCAAAAGUAUAAUCAAGUCUAUGGACAUAUUCCAGUCAAUUGUAAAUGUUAGAAUCAAAUGUCAAAUGAAACAGAUAACUUGUCAGACCUCCAUAUUCAAAUAAUAGCAAUAGAUGGAGGGAUGUACUACUCUUUUCAUGCAUAACAAAAAGGAUUUCCCUUGCAUUUCUUGCAUAGCCAGAAGCCUCUUCAAGGAAAAAAUCACUUAGCUGGUUUUUUUUGUCAACAAUCGAAACCUGAGGAUAUUCAAGGGAGACAUCUACUGAACAAAAGAAUCUCCCAAUCCCAUUAGGUGACGUGGCCCCCUUGGCAUACUUCUAUGAUCUCAGGAGCAAUCCCAAACCCGACUCCGAUAGGCCCCCUUGAUGUCCUCUAGAGGAUGAGAACCAAUUUUAGACAGUUUGCAUCCAGCAUUAAGUGUUCAUAUGACAUUAGUUAGGUCCUUUUGUGGAAAAUAUUCUUUCUUAUUAGGCACUCCCUCCAAUCUUCGCUCAUGCAGCUAAGAGUAAGACAAAGGAGGAGGUGCAUCACAAAUGCAGGAUUGACUGCUCUUGUCCACUAGGUAGCAUCAACCUCUACCAUCAUCUGUUCUGCUUGUCUUUAUAAGUAGAGAGAAAUCCCUCUAGGGCAUGAACAAGCUGCAAACCCAUAUGAAGAAUAGCAGGAGAAAACAUCCGCAUUGUCAACCAAUAAAUUUACAUCCACCAGUAAUUUUCCAUUUUGCUGAAAGAGUAAGGCUUUAACUCUUGUUCCAUAAUUACAAACACAGAAGACUCCUCUCCCUCAUAGGCACUUGUGUUUUCACUAUUUCCAAAUCAACCAAAAACCAGAGAGAGGAAUCAAACGCAUUCUACUUGUCGCACUACACAGCAAGUAUAAAAUCAUUCAACUUUCUGACCUCUUCCUCAGUUUUCCUCCUCUUUGGCCUCGCCCAAAAAGGGCUCUUAUAAGUAACAAGAGGAAAUACUUAGCUGUUGGAUAAUCCGGUUUCCAUGACACACGCCAAUGAGGUCAAUACUACAAAGUAAUCUUUGCGGACUUCUACUACCACAUCAGUCAGCAACAAAGAACUGUCCUACUUGCAGGACAGGCGAUAGAAAAAGUUGAUAUCUAAUUUAAAGGCAUACAUCAUGCAUGCAGUAAUAGCACAAGCAACUUUGUCAGAUUACCGCUAAGGAUGCAUAGACCUCCUCGUUUGGAUCAUCAUCCCCAUUAAAACCAUAUCCUAGCGUUGUUGGGAUUGUAAUACUCAUGACAGAACUCCUGUACGGUUUAAGAAAGAGAUAGAGAGUUUAGGGACCAACAGAAGAUAUCCUUCAGAAGUAUCACCAUCAAAGCAACCACUCCCAUGGUUAUUUUCAUUCUUUUCCACUCUUUUGGCAUUCGAACUUUUGGAAGCUGCAUGUUUGUCACUAUAGAAGCUUACAAGCAGCAACAACAUUACGAUUCCAUUCGUAAAAACACUAAUUGGGUUUGGAACAAAUUCGAUGGGGGAAGGAAUGGAACUACGGGCAAACCUUGAAUUCCUCAGAUGUCAGUUUAGCAUGCUAGCGGUCGCAUCCCCAUAGCCAAAAUAUGAUGGUCUCAAAAGCAAUGAUAUCAAUAAUAAGAUGAGGGAGUAUGUAGCAUGAAAAAAUAUUUGUAGACAAAAUAAGGAUCAAGCCAUAUUCAAGAUUUUAUAAUAUUGACAGGAUUGGAUAAAAUUGUCAUAUGUUCUUUAUAAGUAGGUCAAACGAAUUCUAUUUGAGGAGAAAAAAAAGAAGUAAUCGGGUGAGUGGAACUUAGUGGGUGUAUCUCUCUCUCUCUCUCUCUCUCUCUCUCUCUCAAGCAUGGUCUCUAAUGCUAACUUGGAUUGAAUUAGAGGUAGGAGACAUUAAAAGAAAUGUGUUCUAAUAGCUUGAUUUGUCAAAAUUUUUAGUAAUUUCUCAUUUGCUAAUAUUUUUAUAUUUAAUUUGAUAUAAACUUUGAUCCUCAUAAACAUUAAAAAAAUCUGAAAAUAUUCAAAGAUUUGAAAAUAUUGAGACCGCUCAAUUUGUAACAUAAAAAUCGAUUGAGCAUCAAAACAUUUGCACGUCGAUAUAUGAAGGAACUUGAAUGAGUUCAGGGCUUGGAAGUUAUUGGAUCUCGUUAGGACCAGAGAAAAUAUUCAGUGAUUUCAAAUCACAAUGUCAGCUGCUGAGGUGGCAUAUAUUUUUCGUUAAUAACCCAUCGUAAGUUGGCAUCUGUCUAAUGACGUGGAACCGAAUAAAAAAAUAGAAAUUUAUCCUAGGUCUGUCCUGCCAUGAAAGUUCUUGCUUCGUUGAAGUUUGCAGCACCUCCGUCGCGGUGGACACCAGCGGAGUCGACAGCGCCGCGUCUUGCACUAAAUCGAGCCACCCCUUCCGGCGUUGCUCGACGCAGACGAUGGCCAUUGAUAAGCAACAUGACGACCAUGGAUGGCUAGAUCUAUAAAUUUGAAGAGUGAUGCCGGCGAAGGUGACGACGGCCAUGGAUGAGGGACGCGCUGCCAGAUCUGAAGGUUGGAGAUAAACAGAAAAAGACGGGAGCCGGAGGGUUGGCUCGGCCCGACCGCGAGUGACGCCGGAAGGGGUCUUCCAUCAUUAAUGGCCGCAAGUUUUGCUUGUUCAUGGCUCGCGAGGCGCCUCAUCCACAGAUCUGGCGAUGGCGGAUCGCCCAUGGCCGCGAGCCUUGACAGCGAGCUCCAAAUCUCGUCCUUGGACGAAGAUUCGACAACGGAAGCUUCUUUCCUUCGUCGGAGUUGCAGACCUCCUCGCUGUCGCCACCAGCGGAGUCGCCGGCGCUGUGUCCUGAGAGUCCACACCGACCCACCUCGCGAGCCAUGGACAGCCAAAUCUUGCAGCCAUGGAUGAUGGAGGAGGAGGAGCAGAGAAAACGCCAGGCUGGAUGAAGGAGAACGAGAGAGAGAGAGAGGGGUCAGAUUUUAAUUUGAUCCCUAGUCGGUUGCUGGCAAUCUG
This 32462-nucleotide long non-coding RNA is filed under the name Eucalyptus grandis. RNAcentral describes it as "long non-coding RNA (EGRA_LNC002719)". The record is from RNAcentral. Lineage: Eukaryota; Viridiplantae; Streptophyta; Magnoliopsida; Myrtales; Myrtaceae.